GCGGGCGACGGCCCGACCUCCAAAGCGAGCUUAUGCUUUCCACCACGCUUGAGACGGGACGGACACCGCCGACACCUUUGAGGCGAGUCCCCUACUGGGACUGCUGGCCCAACACCAAGCAGAGCUUGAGGGGUGAAAUGACGCUCGAACAGGCAUGCCCCUCAGAAUACCAAGGGGCGCAAUAUGCGUUCAAAGAUUCGAUGAUUCGCUGAAUUCUGCAAUUCACAUUACUUAUCGCAUUUCGCUGCGUUCUUCAUCGAUGCUGAGGAACACCAAC
This 277-nucleotide unclassified non-coding RNA is filed under the name uncultured Ascomycota. Its description in RNAcentral is "sequence contains ITS1". The record is from RNAcentral. Lineage: Eukaryota; Fungi; Ascomycota.